RNAcentral lists this transfer RNA (71 nucleotides) under Pterorhinus lanceolatus (Chinese babax). RNAcentral describes it as "tRNA-Arg". Lineage: Eukaryota; Metazoa; Chordata; Aves; Passeriformes; Leiothrichidae. The record is from RNAcentral.
AGAAAGUUAGUCUAACUAAGACAGUUGAUUUCGGCUCAACAGAUUAUAGCUCACACCCUAUAACUUUCUUC